GACGAACGCUGGCGGCGUGCCUAAUACAUGCAAGUAGAACGCACAGUUUAUACCGUAGCUUGCUACACCAUAAACUGUGAGUUGCGAACGGGUGAGUAACGCGUAGGUAACCUGCCUGGUAGCGGGGGAUAACUAUUGGAAACGAUAGCUAAUACCGCAUAAUAUUGAUUAUUGCAUGAUAAUUGAUUGAAAGAUGCUAUUGCAUCACUACCAGAUGGACCUGCGUUGUAUUAGCUAGUAGGUGAGGUAACGGCUCACCUAGGCGACGAUACAUAGCCGACCUGAGAGGGUGAUCGGCCACACUGGGACUGAGACACGGCCCAGACUCCUACGGGAGGCAGCAGUAGGGAAUCUUCGGCAAUGGACGAAAGUCUGACCGAGCAAUGCCGCGUGAGUGAAGAAGGGUUUCGGAUCGUAAAGCUCGGUUGUAAGAGAAGAACGGGUGUGAGAGUGGAAAGUUCACACUGUGACGGUAUCUUACCAGAAAGGGACGGCUAACUACGUG
Molecule: ribosomal RNA, 505 nt
Filed under: uncultured bacterium
Lineage: Bacteria
Description: partial 16S ribosomal RNA
Rfam family: Bacterial small subunit ribosomal RNA
Source: RNAcentral